Neocloeon triangulifer is the source of this 611-nucleotide long non-coding RNA. RefSeq lists it as uncharacterized. The record is from RefSeq and is a predicted model, not a curated record. NCBI's taxonomy places the organism in Eukaryota, Metazoa, Arthropoda, Insecta, Ephemeroptera, Baetidae. The transcript has 5 exons.
AUUUCAAAAUUGCGACUUGUCACGGCGCUUAUAUAAUUGCCUUGGUGAAUAUCGCUUGGGUUUUCUUUGAUCUGUGGUACGUGCCCCACGUUUGCUUCGUGCCAUUAUUUAGUGAUUCUGAAAUUGUGAUAUACACCUUUGUUGGAUGGCUGCAGUUGUUAACAUCGCGUGUGCCGCUUUUCAGCUCAUUUUUAUAUCUGGAAUAAAUUCAGACAGCGCAGCAAAAAUCCUUUGGUGGUUGCGCUCUAUGAUCUUUAUGUUCAUUCCCUACAGAGGUUUGGUACUCUUGAUAUCGCUUUACAAACACCACUUCCUGUACACUGCGCUCAAUGUCGUGGUCUUGAUUUUCUUUGCGUUCAGUACAAAAGCCAUGGAUGUGUAUCAAACAGAGCAUGGUUAGUCCCCAAUAUUAUAAUAUUUGACAAUGAAAAUGCUCCGUCGAUUCAUCAGACUGUAUGAAGCCAGUAAAUUAAAAACAUAGCGACGUGAGCUUUCCUCUCCAACAAAUUUGUGAAUAGUGAUAAGAACAAUAAACAUUGGCAAAAUCUUGCGGACAGCCCAAUUCUAAUCACUUCUAGUCACCUCUAAAUGAAUUUUUGUCCACCUGCAUC